GCGGCGGUGGCGCAGGGGUACGGUGGGCAACGCAUGAGCGGAGGCUACAGACCUUGACGCAGCUGCCACGGGUUCGAGUCCCGGCCCGUUGACCUUUGCUGCA
Ataeniobius toweri is the source of this 103-nucleotide non-coding RNA. The record is from the annotation of a GenBank genome assembly. NCBI's taxonomy places the organism in Eukaryota, Metazoa, Chordata, Actinopteri, Cyprinodontiformes, Goodeidae.